AUGCUGUCUGCUUCCUGCUCAGGACUUGUGAUCUUGUUGAUAUUCAGAAGGACCAGUGGAGACUCGGUUACCCAGACAGAAGGCCCAGUUACCCUCCCUGAGAGGGCAGCUCUGACAUUAAACUGCACUUAUCAGUCCAGCUAUUCAACUUUUCUAUUCUGGUAUGUCCAGUAUCUAAACAAAGAGCCUGAGCUCCUCCUGAAAAGUUCAGAAAACCAGGAGACGGACAGCAGAGGUUUUCAGGCCAGUCCUAUCAAGAGUGACAGUUCCUUCCACCUGGAGAAGCCCUCGGUGCAGCUGUCGGACUCUGCCGUGUACUACUGCGCUCUGAGAGA
Molecule: non-coding RNA, 335 nt
Organism: Homo sapiens (human)
Lineage: Eukaryota; Metazoa; Chordata; Mammalia; Primates; Hominidae
Source: the annotation of a RefSeq genome assembly